CAGCCAACCCCUGGGAAGGCCUGGGGCAGCCUGAUGAGCAUUUUCAUUAACAGCCGGAAUAAGGACAUGGAAGGCCAGCUUAUCAAAUUUGAGUCUGACAUGAAUUUGAAAGGAAGGAUAAAUGAAUCAAAUGAAAGUCUGAUCCAAAAAUCUUUCAACAGAGUUCAUUAGGGAGUGCUCUCAGGAACCGCACCUGUGAGGGACCGGAGCGAGCGUGCUUGGGCAGAGGCAGAACUGUGCUUGCUGCAGUUGCGGGGACAGUCUCAGCAAAGCCCCUGCUGCUGGUAGGGCCUUCAGAGUUCCUGGAUGGGGGAUGGACCUCUGUACUCCAUAUCAACCAACCAGCGGAUGUGGGCUGCUCCCAGAGAGGAGGCACGCUACUGGGAACAUAACAUCGUUAAAAGGUCAUUGACUUAGGGCCCAUGCUACACCCUGGAGGAUGUCCCAUGCUCACAGGCAUCAUCUCUAAACUGGUGCCUCAGCUGCACUUUCAAAGGC
Zalophus californianus (California sea lion) is the source of this 498-nucleotide long non-coding RNA. RefSeq lists it as uncharacterized. The transcript is spliced from 3 exons. The record is from RefSeq and is a predicted model, not a curated record. NCBI's taxonomy places the organism in Eukaryota, Metazoa, Chordata, Mammalia, Carnivora, Otariidae.